GCAGCCACUCAUUCAAAGAGUGCGUAAUAGCUCACUGGUCGAGUGAUCCUGCGCCGAAGAUUUCCGGGGCUAAAACUUACUACCGAAGCUACGGCAUCAGUAAUGAUGGGUAGGGGAGCUUCCCAUACGGGUUGAAGCAUGACCGUAAGGACAUGUGGACAGUAUGGGAGUGAGAAUGUUGGCAUGAGUAGCGAGAUGUGGGUGAGAAUCCCACAGGCCGUAAACCCAAGGUUUCCAGGGGAAGGUUCGUCCGCCCUGGGUUAGUCGGGACCUAAGCUGAGGCCGAAAGGCGUAGGUGAUGGACAACAGGUUGAUAUUCCUGUACUACCGAUAACCGUUUGAGAGAUGGGAUGACACAGUAGGAUAAGCUAAGCACACUGUUGGUUAUGUGUGCACAAGCAUGGAGGCAGGCAGAGUAG
Molecule: ribosomal RNA, 419 nt
Filed under: Clostridioides difficile
Lineage: Bacteria; Bacillati; Bacillota; Clostridia; Peptostreptococcales; Peptostreptococcaceae
Description: bacterial LSU rRNA
Rfam family: Bacterial large subunit ribosomal RNA
Source: RNAcentral